GUGUGUUUAAUGCAGGUGUGUUAGUGUGUGUUAAUGCAGGUGUAUUAUUGUGUGUUAAUGCAGGUGUGUUAGUGUGUGUUAAUGCAGGUGUGUUAUUGUGUGUUAAUGCAGGUGUGUUAGUGUGUGUUAAUGCAGGUGUGUUAAUGCAGGUGUAUUAGUGUGUGUUAAUGCAGGUGUAUUAUUGUGUGUUAAUGCAGGUGUGUUAGUGUGUGUUAAUGCAGGUGUGUUAGUGUGUGUUAAUGCAGGAGUAUUAGUGUGUGUUAAUGCAGGUGUAUUAGUGUGUGUUAAUGCAGGUGUGUUAAUGCAGGUGUGUUAAUGCAGGUGUGUUAGUGUGUGUUAAUGCAGGUGUGUUAGUGUGUGUUAACGCAGGUGUGUUAGUGUGUGUUAAUGCAGGUGUAUCAUUGUGUGUUAAUGCGGGUGUGUUAGUGUGUGUUAAUGCAGGUGUGUUAGUGUGUGUUAAUGCAGGUGUAUUAGUGUGUGUUAAUGCAGGUGUAUUAUUGUGUGUUAAUGCAGGUGUGCUAUUGUGUGUUAAUGCAGGUGUGUUAGUGUGUGUUAACGCAGGUGUGUUAUUGUGUGUUAAUGCAGGUGUGUUAGUGUGUGUUAAUGCAGGUGUAUUAGUGUGUGUUAAUGCAGGUGUGUUAGUGUGUGUUAACGCAGGUGUGUUAGUGUGUGUUAUUGCAGGUGUAUUAGUGUGUGUGUUAAAGCAGGUGUAUUAUUGUGUGUUAAUGCAGGUGUAUUAUUGUGUGUUAAUGCAGGUGUGUUAGUGUGUGUUAAUGCAGGUGUAUUAUUGUGUGUUAAUGCAGGUGUGUUAGUGUGUGUUAAUGCAGGUGUGUUAGUGUGUGUUAAUGCAGGUGUGUUAAUGCAGGUGUAUUAUUGUGUGUUAAUGCAGGUGUAUUGUGUGUUAAUGCAGGUGUAUUAUUG
Molecule: long non-coding RNA, 921 nt
Organism: Ictalurus punctatus (channel catfish)
Lineage: Eukaryota; Metazoa; Chordata; Actinopteri; Siluriformes; Ictaluridae
Source: Ensembl